GCGGAGGAAAAGACACUANCANGNAUUGCCGUAGUAACGGCGACUGAAGCGGGAAGAGCUCCAAUUUUGAAUCUCACAGUCUCAGACGCGUGCGAUUUGUCUUCUAGAGAUGUGUUUUCCGAGCCGGCCUCGGUACAAGUCCCUCGGAAUAGGGCGUCAUAGAGGGUGAGAAUCCCGUACUUGACGGAGACUACCGGUGCUAUGUGAUACAUUUUCAAAGAGUCGAGUUGUUUGGGAAUGCAGCUCAAAACGUGUGGUAAAUUCCAUAUAAAGCUAAAUAUUGGCGAGAGACCGAUAGCGAACAAGUACCGUGAGGGAAAGAUGAAAAGCACUUUGAAAAGAGAGUGAAAUAGUAUGUGAAAUUGCUAAAAGGGAAACGCUUGAAGUCAGUCGCGCCGGCCGGAAUUCAGCCUUUGGGUGUAUUUUCUGGUUGGCGGGUCAGCAUCAGUUUCGUUUGAGGCACAAGGGCAGUCGGAAGGUAGCUCCUCGGAGUGUUAUAGCCUUCUGUCGUAUGCCUCGGACGGGCCUGAGGACCGCAGCAUCCCCCCAAGGGUCGGUCUUCGGACACGUUACAUGCUUAGGAUGCUGGCAAAAUGGCUAUAAACGACC
Molecule: ribosomal RNA, 609 nt
Filed under: uncultured fungus
Lineage: Eukaryota; Fungi
Description: eukaryotic LSU rRNA
Rfam family: Eukaryotic large subunit ribosomal RNA
Source: RNAcentral